Molecule: ribosomal RNA, 269 nt
Filed under: Triticum aestivum (bread wheat)
Lineage: Eukaryota; Viridiplantae; Streptophyta; Magnoliopsida; Poales; Poaceae
Description: partial small subunit ribosomal RNA
Source: RNAcentral
CAAGUACACGCACGCACGCAACACACACGAACACCGUACGCACACACAGCGACCCAUCCGCACUCUCGGCCUCGAUCGAUCGGUCCGGCUUGAACCACCGACGAUCCACACCAACAAUCGCGUACGUACGUGACCAUCAAUCGACCAAUCGGCCGGACCUCAAUCACCGGCCAUCACCACCGGGGCACCACGAGACCCUUGCUCAAGCACGAGCACCCACAACCGCAAACUCGCGGCCUUUGGAGGACACAGGUGGACACAGAAGAAGA